CCUACGGGAGGCAGCAGUGGGGAAUUUUGGACAAUGGGCGAAAGCCUGAUCCAGCAAUGCCGCGUGAGUGAAGAAGGCCUUCGGGUUGUAAAGCUCUUUUGUCAGGGAAGAAACGGUGAGAGCUAAUAUCUCUUGCUAAUGACGGUACCUGAAGAAUAAGCGCCGGCUAACUACGUGCCAGCAGCCGCGGUAAUACGUAGGGUGCAAGCGUUAAUCGGAAUUACUGGGCGUAAAGCGUGCGCAGGCGGUUUUGUAAGUCUGAUGUGAAAUCCCCGGGCUCAACCUGGGAAUUGCAUUGGAGACUGCAAGGCUAGAAUCUGGCAGAGGGGGGUAGAAUUCCACGUGUAGCAGUGAAAUGCGUAGAUAUGUGGAGGAACACCGAUGGCGAAGGCAGCCCCCUGGGUCAAGAUUGACGCUCAUGCACGAAAGCGUGGGGAGCAAACAGGAUUAGAUACCCUGGUAGUCCACGCCCUAAACGAUGUCUACUAGUUGUCGGGUCUUAAUUGACUUGGUAACGCAGCUAACGCGUGAAGUAGACCGCCUGGGGAUACGGUCGCAAGAUUAAAACUUAAUGAAUUGAGG
This 582-nucleotide ribosomal RNA is filed under the name uncultured bacterium. RNAcentral describes it as "bacterial SSU rRNA". It matches the Rfam family "Bacterial small subunit ribosomal RNA", at positions 338 to 915 of the family's 1533-position model. The record is from RNAcentral.